Long non-coding RNA from Panthera uncia (snow leopard), 1529 nucleotides. RefSeq lists it as uncharacterized. The transcript has 5 exons. Lineage: Eukaryota; Metazoa; Chordata; Mammalia; Carnivora; Felidae. The record is from RefSeq and is a predicted model, not a curated record.
GUGCGCGCGUGGCCGUGAGCCUCCGCAGGCGUCGGGGGUGGGCCCGGCUGAGCUUGGGAAGACUGACGGCUUCCGAGCGGGGCGGGAGGGGGCCCGUGCUUCUUUCCCGGGCGUCCUGUCCCUCCUCUUUCCUGGCCUCGCCUUCUUUUCCAGCUUCCUGGUUUUUUGGUGUUGUGAAGUGCCUGCCUGGCUCAGUGGGAAGAGCGCGGGACUCUCGGGACUCUUGAUCUCGGGCUGACAAGUUUUUUCAGAUUGUUCUCCAGUAAAACAGUGGUGUCCUAUGAGCUGGUUCAAGGUGUUUUACAGAGUCACUCUAUACGAAGAUGCCCUAAAGAGUGAGUGAGAAGAAAUGGGAAACAGAGGAAACAUGUCCUGCUUUAUCCCAUGCUGUAUGCUAGUCAUCCCCAAGAAGAGAGAACCAUGCUGUUCAGAGCUAAUGAUUGAACAAGGUGGCUGCUCAAACUUUGGGAAACACGAAUGACUACAUCUUGACUCAUCUUUCCUGUCAGAAAUCCUGAGGCUCAGAGUAACUUAUCGAUUGUUUGUUUUUGAUAAGUAGGGAGGACUUUCUUGGGCCAACCACCUUCAGCCCCCACACUGAAGAUCUCUGAGUCAUGCUGUGAAUCAUCACAAGACUCAAGACAGGAUGUGCAAGUUCUUACUCCUGGCACAGUCAUCUCAAAAGGCUUGGUAUACCUUAAUAUGUGAAUAUUGACCAUAUUCAGCCUGAAGACGGUCUGGACAGCAGAUUUUUCCUCCACUCCUCCCCCCAUUCCUCAGGGAAGCACCUCAGAAAUGACUAACAUCAUGACAGGAAAGGUAGAUAACUGUUAUCACCUGCCUUAGCUUACAAAGAAGCACGUAGUAGUGGUUUCUUAUAAGUACUCAGGACUAACGGAGAAAAUCUAAUGACUGUACUUUGGUCAUAGAGUGAACUUUGUUGGAUGUGUAAUCAUGAGCACUGGAUUAGAGAUAAACCCACUUUUUAGUCGUUGAAAAGAACAACAUACUGGGAGCGUUGGUUAUAUAUUAGAAUAAGAGAAAGCAGAUAUAUUUGGAUAUGUUCAAAAAGACCAACAUGUCAUAUUAACACAAUUCAUAAAUAGAACUAAUGAAAUCCAAAGUCAAGAGUAACAUCAGAGGCAGCUCAAAGUUGUCAUGAGGCAAGAUGAGCUUACCAACAUUUAAACCAGGUUAUAUAAAAAAUAAAACCAUUGUUUUUUUCCUCCCUUUUUUAUUGUUUCAAGUUUUUAUUUAAAUUACAGCAUACAACAUAAUAUGUUGGUUAACAUACAGCAUAAUAUUAGUUUCAGGAGUAGGAUGUAGUGAUUCAUCACUACAUACAAUAUCCAGUGCUCAUCACAAGUGCCCUCCUUAAUACCCAUCACCCAUUUGACCCAACUGCCCCCCACCUUCCCUCCAGCAACCCUCAGUUUGUUCGCUAUAGUUAAGAGUCUCUUUUAUGGUUUGCUUCUCCCCACCAACCAUGUUCAUCUGUUUUGUUUCUUAAAUUCCACAUAUGAGCGAAA